UACGUAGGUGGCGAGCGUUGUCCGGAUUUACUGGGCGUAAAGAGCGCGCAGGCGGUCGUCCAAGUCGCGUGUGAAAGCCCCCGGCUCAACUGGGGAGGGUCACGCGAUACUGAUCGACUCGAAGGCAGGAGAGGGAAGCGGAAUUCCCGGUGUAGUGGUGAAAUGCGUAGAUAUCGGAAGGAACACCAGUGGCGAAAGCGGCUUCCUGGUCCAGCACCGACGUUCAGGCACGAAAGCGUGGGGAGCAAACAGG
RNAcentral lists this ribosomal RNA (253 nucleotides) under uncultured bacterium. Its description in RNAcentral is "partial 16S ribosomal RNA". It matches the Rfam family "Bacterial small subunit ribosomal RNA", at positions 524 to 776 of the family's 1533-position model. The record is from RNAcentral.